UACGGAGGGGGCUAGCGUUGUUCGGAAUUACUGGGCGUAAAGCGCACGUAGGCGGCUAUUCAAGUCAGAGGUGAAAGCCUGGGGCUUAACUCCAGAACUGCCUUUGAAACUAGAUAGCUAGAAUCAUGGAGAGGUGAGUGGAAUUCCGAGUGUAGAGGUGAAAUUCGUAGAUAUUCGGAAGAACACCAGUGGCGAAGGCGGCUCACUGGACAUGUAUUGACGCUGAGGUGCGAAAGCGUGGGGAGCAAACAGG
This 253-nucleotide ribosomal RNA is filed under the name uncultured bacterium. Its description in RNAcentral is "partial 16S ribosomal RNA". It matches the Rfam family "Bacterial small subunit ribosomal RNA", at positions 524 to 776 of the family's 1533-position model. The record is from RNAcentral.